RNAcentral lists this ribosomal RNA (762 nucleotides) under uncultured Caldilinea sp. Its description in RNAcentral is "bacterial SSU rRNA". It matches the Rfam family "Bacterial small subunit ribosomal RNA", at positions 71 to 850 of the family's 1533-position model. The record is from RNAcentral. Lineage: Bacteria; Bacillati; Chloroflexota; Caldilineae; Caldilineales; Caldilineaceae.
AGGGGAUAGCAAUAUUCUUGAAAGUGGCGCACGGGUGAGUAAUACGUAGGUAACCUGCCCUGGAGUGGGGGAUAACAACUGGAAACGGUUGCUAAUACCGCAUGAAGCCAAGACACUGGGAAGUGACUUGGUAAAAGCUCUGGUGCUUCAGGAGGGGCCUACGGCCGAUUAGCUAGUUGGCGGGGUAAGAGCCCACCAAGGCAGUGAUCGGUAGCUGGUCUGAGAGGACGAUCAGCCACACGGGAACUGAGACACGGUCCCGACUCCUACGGGGGGCAGCAGUGAGGAAUAUUGGGCAAUGGGCGCAAGCCUGACCCAGCAACGCCGCGUGGAGGAAGACGGCCUUCGGGUUGUAAACUCCUUUUACGGGGGAAGAGGAAGGACGGUACCCCGAGAAUAAGUCACGGCUAACUACGUGCCAGCAGCCGCGGUAAUACGUAGGUGACAAGCGUUAUCCGGAAUUACUGGGCGUAAAGCGCACGCAGGCGGCGUGGUAAGUCUGAUGUGAAAUCUCCCGGCUUAACUGGGAGGGGUCAUUGGAAACUGCCGUGCUCGAGGCGGUGAGAGGGGUGUAGAAUUCCCGGUGUAGUGGUGGAAUGCGUAGAUAUCGGGAGGAAUACCAGUGGCGAAAGCGGCACCCUGGCACUAGCCUGACGCUCAUGUGCGAAGGCGUGGGGAGCGAACGGGAUUAGAUACCCCGGUAGUCCACGCGGUAAACGAUGAAUACUAGGUGUGGGUGGAGUGAAAUCCAUCUGUGCCGAA